Sinocyclocheilus grahami is the source of this 220-nucleotide small nucleolar RNA. Its record names the gene U3. It matches the Rfam family "Small nucleolar RNA U3". Rfam says of the family: Small nucleolar RNAs (snoRNAs) are involved in the processing and modification of rRNA in the nucleolus. The record is from Ensembl. Lineage: Eukaryota; Metazoa; Chordata; Actinopteri; Cypriniformes; Cyprinidae.
AAGACUGUAUUUUCAGGGAUCAUUUCUAUAGUUCUUUAUUUCUUUAUUUGGAAAUGUGUUUUGAAAAUGUCUGUUUUCCAACCCACGAUGAUGAGCUGUGACGCUCCUUUCUAAAAAUGAAUUAAAGAUUGAGCUGUGACUUUGGUUGCAAACUCUGUCAUUGAUGAGUGUUCUCUAUUGCUUUUGGUAAUGUUGAUCAAAGGGGUAUGAUCUGAGUGGC